This 460-nucleotide ribosomal RNA is filed under the name uncultured bacterium. Its description in RNAcentral is "partial 16S ribosomal RNA". It matches the Rfam family "Bacterial small subunit ribosomal RNA", at positions 338 to 795 of the family's 1533-position model. The record is from RNAcentral.
CCUACGGGAGGCAGCAGUGAGGAAUAUUGGUCAAUGGGCGGAAGCCUGAACCAGCCAAGUCGCGUGAGGGAAUAAGGCCCUACGGGUCGUAAACCUCUUUUGCCGGGGAGCAAGGGCCGGGACGAGUCCCGGUCCGGAGAGUACCCGGAGAAAACGCAUCGGCUAACUCCGUGCCAGCAGGCGCGGUAAUACGGGGGAUGCGGGCGUUAUCCGGAUUUAUUGGGUUUAAAGGGUGCGUAGGCGGGCUUUUAAGUCAGCGGUAAAAAUUCGGGGCUCAAACCCGUCCGGCCGUUGAAACUGGGGGCCUUGAGUGGGCGAGAAGAAGGCGGAAUGCGUGGUGUAGCGGUGAAAUGCAUAGAUAUCACGCAGAACCCCGAUUGCGAAGGCAGCCUUCCGGCGCCCUACUGACGCUGAGGCACGAAAGUGCGGGGAUCGAACAGGAUUAGAUACCCCAGUAGUC